This 731-nucleotide ribosomal RNA is filed under the name uncultured archaeon. RNAcentral's name for it is "bacterial SSU rRNA". It matches the Rfam family "Archaeal small subunit ribosomal RNA", at positions 593 to 1324 of the family's 1478-position model. The record is from RNAcentral.
GGACCCGGGAGGAGUUAGGAGUAUUCUGGGGGNAGCGGUAAAAUGCUAUAAUCCUUGGAAGACUACCUGUGGCGAAGGCGCCUAACCAGAACGGAUUUCGACAGUGAGGGACGAAAGCUAGGGGAGCGAACCGGAUUAGAUACCCGAGUAGUCCUAGCAGUAAACGCUGCGAGCUAGGCGUUGCAGGAUCUUCGGGAUUCUGCAGUGUCGCAGUGAAGACGUUAAGCUCGCCGCCUGGGAAGUACGGUCGCAAGGCUGAAACUUAAAGGAAUUGGCGGGGGAGCACUACAACGAGUGGAGCGUGCGGUUUAAUCUAAUUUUACACUGAGAAUCUCACCAGAAGCGACUGCAGGAUGAAAGUCAGGUUGAUGGCCUUACUAGACGAGCAGAGAGGUAGUGCAUGGCCGUCGUAAGCUCGUGCCGUAAGGUGUCCUCUUAAGUGGGGCAACGAGCGAGACCUACAUCUACAGUUGCUAGCAACUUCUUUAGAAGGAUUGAGCACACUGUAGAGACUGCCCGGGAAACUGGGAGGAAGGCGUAGGCAAUGACAGGUCUGUAUGCUCCGAAUCUUCUGGGCUACACGCGCGCAACAAUGGUAGGAACAAUGGGCUGCAACUCCGAAAGGAGGAGCUAAUCCUCGAAAUCCUAUCUUAGUCCUGAUUGAGGGUUGUAACUCACCCUCAUGAUGCUGGAAUUCGUAGUAAUACGGGUGUUAUCAGCGCCCGGGAAUA